UGACUUUAACACUUCAUGACUGAGAGCUGCUGCUCAGCGACUUCACCCACAGCAACCAUGAGUUUGAUCAGCGUCUUCAUCUGCACACUGGCCCUCUGCAUUCGAGGAUCCCAAAGUCAGGCCAUUGUGACUCAGAGUCCUGCAGUGAAAUCUGUUUCUCCGGGAGACACACUCACCAUCAGCUGUAAAACUAAUGUUGCUGUCGAUAAUGACUGUGAUGAUGAUUAUGACUGUUUGUCCUGGUAUCAGCAGAAAGCUGGAGAAGCUCCUAAACUCCUUAUCUAUUAUGCUGAUGAAAGAGAAUCAGGUAUUCCUGAACGUUUCAGUGGCAGUGGAUCUGGAACUGAUUUCACUCUGACCAUCAGUGGAGUCCAGACUGAAGAUGCUGGAGAUUAUUACUGUCUAACGGUUCAUUACAACACAUUCAAAUCUUCACCGUUCACUUUCGGUGGAGGAACCAAACUCAUCAUCAAAACCGGUCCCACGGUGAAGCCCUCCGUGUCUCUGCUCCCUCCCUCCUCUCUGCAGCUGUCUGAGGGAUCGGCCUCGCUGCUCUGCCUGCUGUCUGCCUACUCUCCACAGGGGGCGCUGGUGAGCUGGACAGUGGACGGCUCAGAGGUGAAGAACGGGGUUCUGACCAGCGCAGAAGAACACAAGAAGGACGGUUACACACGCAGCAGCACCCUGACCCUCAGCAAAGCACUCUGGGAAAAGGGGGAGGAGUUUGGCUGUACGGUCUCCCAUGAUGGCGUCAAUCAUCCGGUCACGUUCAGAAAGAGCCAGUGUGAAGGCUAACAGCUCCAAGAUAGAAUUUAACACUCAGCUGCUUACACAUCCAUCUACAAUAGAGUUUCAGUUCUACACAAUGCUGACAUUUCUGUCUUUACUCUCUUCACUGUCCUGUUGCUCUUCCUGUAGUUUUGCUCUGCUGAAAUAAAGCUUCAUUUUGGA
Neoarius graeffei (lesser salmon catfish) is the source of this 951-nucleotide non-coding RNA. The record is from the annotation of a RefSeq genome assembly. Lineage: Eukaryota; Metazoa; Chordata; Actinopteri; Siluriformes; Ariidae.